This 497-nucleotide ribosomal RNA is filed under the name uncultured bacterium. RNAcentral describes it as "partial 16S ribosomal RNA". It matches the Rfam family "Bacterial small subunit ribosomal RNA", at positions 28 to 507 of the family's 1533-position model. The record is from RNAcentral.
GAUGAACGCUGGCGGCGUGCCUAAUACAUGCAAGUCGAGCGAACGGACGAGAAGCUUGCUUCUCUGAUGUUAGCGGCGGACGGGUGAGUAACACGUGGAUAACCUACCUAUAAGACUGGGAUAACUUCGGGAAACCGGAGCUAAUACCGGAUAAUAUUUUGAACCGCAUGGUUCGAAAGUGAAAGACGGUCUUGCUGUCACUUAUAGAUGGAUCCGCGCUGCAUUAGCUAGUUGGUAAGGUAACGGCUUAUCAAGGCAACGAUGCAUAGCCGACCUGAGAGGGUGAUCGGCCACACUGGAACUGAGACACGGUCCAGACUCCUACGGGAGGCAGCAGUAGGGAAUCUUCCGCAAUGGGCGAAAGCCUGACGGAGCAACGCCGCGUGAGUGAUGAAGGUCUUCGGAUCGUAAAACUCUGUUAUUAGGGAAGAACAUAUGUGUAAGUAACUGUGCACAUCUUGACGGUACCUAAUCAGAAAGCCACGGCUAACUACGUG